CAGCCAUUGUAAAUAAGUCUCAAC
This 24-nucleotide non-coding RNA is filed under the name Arabidopsis thaliana (thale cress). Lineage: Eukaryota; Viridiplantae; Streptophyta; Magnoliopsida; Brassicales; Brassicaceae. The record is from RNAcentral.